AAAAACAAACUAAUGAAUGUCAUACGCAGAAAAGGCCCCGUAUCCAAAAUCACGCUGCACUUCUCUAAGCGGAUGAUAUCAAAAUUAAAAAACCGUCGUAAUCGCGUUCAUUAAGAUCUUCGGUUAUAUUUAAUAUUUGAAUUUGUACAAUUUUAAUUUUUUUUUCUUAUUGUUAGUAAAUGACCCUAAGUCAUUAAGUCAGGGUGUUCUGUUUAAGUCGGUGCAUUCAUUAUCUCGGAAAGUAUCAACUUUUUAGUAUCAACAAAAGACUCCUUUUAAGAUGAUACACGCUGGAGUAGAAGAACAGAAUAUUCUAAGGACAAAACCGAACAUUCCUGAUUCAGUGAAGUACAGGUAAUAAUUAAAGAAAUGUAUUACCUAUUUUAUUUUUAUAACAAUUUAUAAUUUAUUAUUUCUGUUGUAAUGGACGAAGUUAUAAAGGAAAUACAAGGCGAUGUGAGGUAUCAUGGUGCAUAAUAUUUACAGAUUUUAUAGUUUUGAUAAGAGAAAAUUUGGAAGAAGUUAAUAAUAAACUUUAGGAAUGGAGAGUAACACUUAAAGGAAAGGGAUUAAGGAUAAAUUUAUGUAAAACAGAGUUUAUAUAGUUUGAUUUUGAAGGAACAGGACAAGACAGCUAAUGACAAUAAGUAGUGAUAGGUAAGAUUAAGAGUUUUAAGUAUUAAGAUCUUUUUUUAAAAAAGAAUGGUGGCUUUGAUGAAGAUGUGAAACAUAGAAUUAAGUAUGAUUUCAAUGAGAUUUAAAGGUAAGUUAUACAAGAGUGUGGUAAUACCAGCUAUGUUGUAUGGUUUAGAGUGUUGGGUAGUAGAUGGGAAAAUAGAACAGAAAAUUAGUGUAGCAGAAAUAAGAAUGCAUAAAUUGAUAAAUGGAGUGACGAAAGAAGAUAGAUUAAGGAAUAAGUACAUAAGAGGUAGCUUAGGUGUGGCUUCUAUAGUAGACAAAAUGAGAGAAAAUAAACUCAAAUAGUCUUGGUAUGUCAUGAGAAGAGAGGAAACGGAAGCUGUAAGAAUUAUGAUGAAAAUAAAAGUUGAUGGAAAGGAGAGGAGAGAAAGACCAAAAACGAUGUAGUUGGAAUGAUGUGUGAAUGGCAUGUGUAUGCAAGGAUGACAUGUGGGAUCGAGUCAAGUGGAAAUAUUGGACAAUGGUGACAGACCCUAAAUAGUUGGAAUAAAGGCGAAGUAGAAAAAGAAGUAAUAAUUUAUAAUUAUUAUGCUCCUAUAUUAUAUCUUUGUAAUAGAAAUCUAUCGAUUCAACAUGAUAUAUUAACUGCAUCAUCUGGGGUUACUACUCUUUCAACUGAAUCUUCAAAGUACAACAGGUGAUAAUAACUACUUUUUUAUAAAACAAUUGUUAUAAAUCAUGGUUUUUCUACCUUAUAGAGUGUCCGUUAUAAGAAGGUGGUUUUAAUGUAUAUUAUGGCAGCUCUUAAAUGGAUCAUGGUUGAACUUUUAUGAAUGCACCCCCUAAGAUAGNAAUUUGAAAAUAUCAAAACCAAUAAUGCUGUAAGCUUUUCCCAUAUUUUCUACAUUUUUUCCCAAUUGUAAUGAAAACUGUUUAGAAAAUUAAAAAAUACCUCCUCUAUGUACUAACUACAUUUAACUAAUUUUGGAUCAAAAUAAAACAAAAAGAAAUUUCUUUUAAUUUUUUGAUUGGAACAAGAUUUCUAAUAGUUGCUGAUAGUCGCAGAAAAAAAAAAAUUUAAAAGAAAAUAUACAUGUAUAAAACCAAUAUGGUCUUCACUCUGCUCAGAAUCUAAAAGUAUGUAGUUAUUUUCUAAUUUUCAGUAGGGAAGUAACCUUAUAAAAUUAUCAAAAUAAAAUGUAAAUACAUUUUUAAAUUGCUUUUAUAUUUUUAUUUAUAAUAAAUAACUAACUGUUUAAUAAAUAUUUGAGAUGAAGGUGAAGGAGAAGAAGAGAACGUUAGUUUAAUGAGUUAGCGUAUUUGAGAAACUUGCUUAGCUUUGCUAUCUAUCCUGUUUUCAAGCUCACCAUCAAAAUAUAAUUAUUUUAAUAAAAUAAAUUUUGAAAUUGAAUAUUAACGUGUAUGAUGGAGAGUCCAAAAAAAAAAAAAAAGGUACAAAUGAAAUAUGAAUUCUUUUUUUUAUACCCACACAUUUUACUCGAGAUGGUAUGUAUUUUAUUGAAGUACACUUAAAUAUUUAAAUAUUUGGACCCGACAGCUGACAUACGCUAGUCAAUCUGUUCAAGAAUUCAUUGAGAUUAUAAUAUUUGUUGUUUCGGAUUUGAAGCGUAGCGAGGAAUCUAUCGGUUUUAUUAUGGUGUAUUACUUUUUGACCAGAAAUCUUGCUCCAAUUGAAAAAUGACAAGAUCCUUUUUUUGAAUUUCGUAUUUUGUUGGUGCAUUUUUUAAUUUUCCAAUCAGUUUUCAUAAUAAUUAAGAAAACCCAAAAACUAUGUAAAAUGUAAACUCACAAAUGUAUUAAAUGAUUAGUACAUUAAUCGUAGUUUGUGGCAGAGAAAAUGAGUUAUAAAAUUACUCUAUUUUAUAAUUUUAAUUUAGUUUACAAUGAUUUUAUAAAUAAUAAUGUUACUUGUUAAGUAUAUAACUAAAAUAUUAUUACAAUAUUCUGUAAUAUAAAAUAAUAAAAAUUGAUAUUGUUGGAGUUAAUGUUAAAAUAGUUUAAACAAAUUUAAAAUAGGAAAAUCAUAAGAAAACUGGGAAAAUUGGUACAACAUUUAAUACAUUUUACUUAAGAAAAUAUAUAAAGCCUAUUUAAUUAUUUUACUAUAAAAUGACAUAUAUAUUGUUGACAAUGCAUUACUAUUAACUUAACUCCGCUCAGAAUCGUUUUUUUUGGAAGCAAUAAAACGUGGUGUAAUAAAGUGAAUUGUUGCUUAUAGAUAUACAUUAAAUUCCUGUUUGUAUCUUACCUUCCCAACUUUCCAUCUACACUAGUGGCUGUACCCGUUUCCAUUAUCUUAUCUUUCUAUUUUUAUCUUUUAAUUGUUAUAAUUUAAAUUUUCUGAUUAACCAUAUUAAUUUAAUCAUAAUUAAGGUAUUCAUAUAAAAUGUUUUACUUCUAAGCCAAUCGAGUGUUAUAAAUCAAACUGAUGAGAGAAUUUAUUUUACUCAACUCAGAAAUGAUCUUAUUUGUUAAAAGGAACUCAAGGAAUUGAAAAGCUGAUAUUACAAAAUCAUCAGAUCAAAAGUACCAAAAGUAGCAAAAAAACUACCUAAGUUUAUGUGCAUAAAAAUAAAAUAUCAGAGGAAUUAAAAACUAAUGAAGAAAUAUAAAUGAUUUAUUGGUUUAGUUUAUUCAUUAUCUAUUUGUAUCACACCUUAGUUUUAUUAACUUCUGUGUGCUAAUAAUCAGAUUAUUAAAAUUAAAUUCUAUAUAGCAUUAUGUAGGGUUUUGACUUGUUGAAUAAAAUUAAAAUAAUCAUAUAAAAUUUUAAAGGUAUUGAAAAAUGUACAGGUUUUAUUAUUCAUGUGUUAAACUACUUAACUAUACAAGUAAUUGGUAUUUAUCUAAUAUCAUAACCUAUACAUACCCUAUUAUAAAUUAUAUAUGCUAUUAAUGUCAGUUUUUGUUAUAUUAAUUUCAGGAAUUCUGUACAAAUGUCGCAUCAAUUUUAAAUAAAAUUACAAGUGAUAACAUUAUUACUUUAGCUGAACAUUUUAGUGCAUUAACCAAUUGAUAUUGUUGAACUACUAAAGAAAAUAGUUGAUUUAAUUUUUGAAAAGGUGAUUUAUAAGCAAUGAAUAAAAUAUCUCUAAAUUAUUACUCAUUAACUUGUUGUUUAUUUUGUUGAUUUUUUAUCUUACAUUAUAGGCAAUUAAAGAACAAUGUUUUCACCUCAUUAUGUGGCUCUUUGCUCGGCUAUGAAAUCUGUGCAAGUAAGUUCUGGAAAAGAUAGGAAUAAGACAAUAUUUAAGAAACUAAUUAUCAGUAAAUGUCUGCGCUUAUUUGAAUCAGAAAAGGCACAAGAAAUGGAUUCUAUUAUAAAACUUUCAGGAAUAAAUUCUUGCACAGACCCAGUAAUUUAAUAAUUGUUCUAACUUACCAAUUAAUGCAUACUUUUAUUUAAUAAAUUAAACCAUUCUAGGAAAAGACAAAAGUAUUACAAACUAGAGUUUGAAGAAAAUGAAAGAAGAUUACACAAGCGUUCGGUAUGGAACUGCCAGUAAAAUAAAUAAAAUACAUAAUUUAUUAGAUUUAUUAAGAUUAACAGAUCUAGGAAUCAUCUCUAAAAUAAUAAAUAAAGCAUCAAAAUAGUUAGGUUUUAUAAUAUGUUACUGCUGAAAUUUUACAAAUAUUAUUACCUUAAAAUCACUAUUCUGUUUACUAGUCUGAUUAUGUCUUGAAUAUAACUCUGGUGAUGAAAAAAAAAAAUAUAUGUUUUGUGCACCUUCUAUAUGGGUGUGUAUGUGUACAAAAAUUAGCUACAAAAUUUUUUAGGUGAAUCGGAUGAAUUUCACCUUUACCGAAUUGAACUUAAGU
RNAcentral lists this long non-coding RNA (4479 nucleotides) under Cinara cedri. The record is from RNAcentral. Lineage: Eukaryota; Metazoa; Arthropoda; Insecta; Hemiptera; Aphididae.